GAUGAACGCUGACAGAAUGCUUAACACAUGCAAGUCAACUUGAAUUUGGGUUUUUAACUUAGGUUUGGGUGGCGGACGGGUGAGUAACGCGUAAAGAACUUGCCUCACAGCUAGGGACAACAUUUGGAAACGAAUGCUAAUACCUAAUAUUAUGAUAAUAGGGCAUCCUAUAAUUAUGAAAGCUAUAAGCGCUGUGAGAGAGCUUUGCGUCCCAUUAGCUAGUUGGAGAGGUAACGGCUCACCAAGGCGAUGAUGGGUAGCCGGCCUGGGAGGGUGAUCGGCCACAAGGGAACUGAGACACGGCCCUUACUCCUACGGGAGGCAGCAGUGGGGAAUAUUGGACAAUGGACCAAGAGUCUGAUCCAGCAAUUCUGUGUGCACGAUGAAGUUUUUCGGAAUGUAAAGUGCUUUCAGUUGGGAAGAAAGAAAUGACGGUACCAACGGAAGAAGUGACGGCUAAAUACGUG
This 467-nucleotide ribosomal RNA is filed under the name uncultured bacterium. RNAcentral's name for it is "partial 16S ribosomal RNA". It matches the Rfam family "Bacterial small subunit ribosomal RNA", at positions 28 to 507 of the family's 1533-position model. The record is from RNAcentral.